This 73-nucleotide transfer RNA is filed under the name Caudoviricetes sp. Its description in RNAcentral is "tRNA-Cys". It matches the Rfam family "tRNA". From Rfam's summary of the family: Transfer RNA (tRNA) molecules are approximately 80 nucleotides in length. Their secondary structure includes four short double-helical elements and three loops (D, anti-codon, and T loops). Lineage: Duplodnaviria; Heunggongvirae; Uroviricota; Caudoviricetes. The record is from RNAcentral.
GUACGUAUAGCCAAGCGGUAAGGCAAAUCUCUGCAAAAGAUUCAUUCCGUCGGUUCAAAUCCGACUACGUACU